CUACACAUGCAGUCGAGCGGAUGAGAGGAGCUUGCUCUGGAUUCAGCGGCGGACGGGUGAGUAAUGCCUAGGAAUCUGCCUGGUAGUGGGGGACAACGUUUCGAAAGGAACGCUAAUACCGCAUACGUCCUACGGGAGAAAGCAGGGGACCUUCGGGCCUUGCGCUAUCAGAUGAGCCUAGGUCGGAUUAGCUAGUUGGUGAGGUAAUGGCUCACCAAGGCGACGAUCCGUAACUGGUCUGAGAGGAUGAUCAGUCACACUGGAACUGAGACACGGUCCAGACUCCUACGGGAGGCAGCAGUGGGGAAUAUUGGACAAUGGGCGAAAGCCUGAUCCAGCCAUGCCGCGUGUGUGAAGAAGGUCUUCGGAUUGUAAAGCACUUUAAGUUGGGAGGAAGGGUUGUAGAUUAAUACUCUGCGAUUUUGACGUUACCGACAGAAUAAGCACCGGCUAACUCUGUGCCAGCAGCCGCGGUAAUACAGAGGGUGCAAGCGUUAAUCGGAAUUACUGGGCGUAAAGCGCGCGUAGGUGGUUUGUUAAGUUGGAUGUGAAAUCCCCGGGCUCAACCUGGGAACUGCAUCCAAAACUGGCAAGCU
RNAcentral lists this ribosomal RNA (596 nucleotides) under bacterium amp-w-56. RNAcentral's name for it is "bacterial SSU rRNA". It matches the Rfam family "Bacterial small subunit ribosomal RNA", at positions 49 to 642 of the family's 1533-position model. The record is from RNAcentral.